RNAcentral lists this ribosomal RNA (610 nucleotides) under Rhytidhysteron sp. RNAcentral's name for it is "partial large subunit ribosomal RNA". It matches the Rfam family "Eukaryotic large subunit ribosomal RNA", at positions 32 to 657 of the family's 3401-position model. Lineage: Eukaryota; Fungi; Ascomycota; Dothideomycetes; Hysteriales; Hysteriaceae. The record is from RNAcentral.
ACUUAAGCAUAUCAAUAAGCGGAGGAAAAGAAACCAACAGGGAUUGCCUUAGUAACGGCGAGUGAAGCGGCAGCAGCUCAAAUUUGAAAUCUGGCUCCUUUGGGGCCCGAGUUGUAAUUUGUAGAGGAUGUUUCGGCGUGGUCCCAGGUCUAAGUUCCUUGGAACAGGACGUCACAGAGGGUGAGAAUCCCGUACGUGGCCGUGGGUACCCGCCAUGUGAAGCUCCUUCGACGAGUCGAGUUGUUUGGGAAUGCAGCUCUAAAUGGGAGGUAAAUUUCUUCUAAAGCUAAAUACUGGCCAGAGACCGAUAGCGCACAAGUAGAGUGAUCGAAAGAUGAAAAGCACUUUGGAAAGAGAGUCAAAAAGUACGUGAAAUUGUUGAAAGGGAAGCGCUUGCAACCAGACCUGCCUGCGGUUGCUCAUCCGGGCUCUUGCCCGGUGCACUCUUCCGCAGUCAGGCCAGCAUCAGUUCUGGCGGUCGGAUAAAGGCGGCGGGAAUGUGGCUCCCCUCGGGGAGUGUUAUAGCCCGUCGUGUAAUGCGGCCAGCCGGGACUGAGGUCCGCGCUUCGGCUAGGAUGCUGGCGUAAUGGUUGUAAGCGGCCCGUCUUGA